AACGAACGCUGGCGGCAUGCCUAACACAUGCAAGUCGAACGAGACCUUCGGGUCUAGUGGCGCACGGGUGCGUAACGCGUGGGAACCUGCCCUUAGGUUCUGAAUAACUCCCCGAAAGGGGUGCUAAUACCGGAUAAUGUCUUCGGACCAAAGAUUUAUCGCCUUGGGAUGGGCCCGCGUUGGAUUAGCUAGUUGGUAGGGUAAAAGCCUACCAAGGCGACGAUCCAUAGCUGGUCUGAGAGGAUGAUCAGCCACACUGGGACUGAGACACGGCCCAGACUCCUACGGGAGGCAGCAGUGGGGAAUAUUGGACAAUGGGCGAAAGCCUGAUCCAGCAAUGCCGCGUGAGUGAUGAAGGCCUUAGGGUUGUAAAGCUCUUUUACCCGGGAUGAUAAUGACAGUACCGGGAGAAUAAGCUCCGGCUAACUCCGUG
This 433-nucleotide ribosomal RNA is filed under the name uncultured bacterium. RNAcentral's name for it is "partial 16S ribosomal RNA". It matches the Rfam family "Bacterial small subunit ribosomal RNA", at positions 29 to 507 of the family's 1533-position model. The record is from RNAcentral.